Molecule: ribosomal RNA, 242 nt
Filed under: uncultured bacterium
Lineage: Bacteria
Description: partial 16S ribosomal RNA
Rfam family: Bacterial small subunit ribosomal RNA
Source: RNAcentral
GCAAGUCGAACGGUAACAGGAUAGCUUGCUAUCGCUGACGAGUGGCGGACGGGUGAGUAAUACUUAGGGAUCUGCCUUGAGGUGGGGGAUAACUAUUGGAAACGAUAGCUAAUACCGCAUGACGUCUACGGACCAAAGGGGGCUUCGGCUCCCGCCUUGAGAUGAACCUAAGCGAGAUUAGCUUGUUGGUGAGGUAACGGCUCACCAAGGCGACGAUCUCUAGCUGUUCUGAGAGGAAGAUC